GACGAACGCUGGCGGCGUGCCUAAUACAUGCAAGUUGAGCGAUGAAGAUUGGUGCUUGCACCCAUUUGAAGAGCAGCGAACGGGUGAGUAACGCGUGGGGAAUCUGCCUUUGAGCGGGGGACAACAUUUGGAAACGAAUGCUAAUACCGCAUAACAACUUUAAACAUAAGUUUUAAGUUUGAAAGAUGCAAUUGCAUCACUCAAAGAUGAUCCCGCGUUGUAUUAGCUAGUUGGUGAGGUAAAGGCUCACCAAGGCGAUGAUACAUAGCCGACCUGAGAGGGUGAUCGGCCACAUUGGGACUGAGACACGGCCCAAACUCCUACGGGAGGCAGCAGUAGGGAAUCUUCGGCAAUGGACGAAAGGCUGACCGAGCAACGCCGCGUGAGGGAAGAAGGGUUUCGGAUCGUAAAACUCUGUUGGUAGAGAAGAACGUUGGUGAGAGUGGAAGGCCCAUCAAGUGACGGUAACUACCCAGAAAGGGACGGCUAACUACGUG
RNAcentral lists this ribosomal RNA (497 nucleotides) under uncultured bacterium. RNAcentral describes it as "partial 16S ribosomal RNA". It matches the Rfam family "Bacterial small subunit ribosomal RNA", at positions 28 to 507 of the family's 1533-position model. The record is from RNAcentral.